RNAcentral lists this unclassified non-coding RNA (1924 nucleotides) under Leishmania donovani. RNAcentral's name for it is "gene:LdHU3.22.0870(CDS-product:prefoldin_5-like_p rotein)". Lineage: Eukaryota; Euglenozoa; Kinetoplastea; Trypanosomatida; Trypanosomatidae. The record is from RNAcentral.
AGAUUAGAGGAGGGCAGCUGCCGUGACGACAGAUCACUCACACAGGCCAGUGCAUAGGUGCUCCAAUACGCGUACUCACUCGCUACGCAUACGUGCUCUUCCUUCACGCAACACAGAUACAACUGCAGCCAAUCCAAUGAGUAUCAACGUCUAUCAGCUACCCAUUGAGCAGCUCGAAGGCCUCAAGGAGCAGCUUGACAAUGAUGUGCGUAGUCUUGGGACGGCUUACGACGGCCUCUACAACGGACGCACUCGCUACCAGGACAACCACGACGUGGUUGCGCAGUACCAUGCCGUUUGCGAGAACGCCGCCAAGACGGAAGCGGCGCAGGAGGUGCUCGUGUGCAUGACAUCGUCGCUCUUUGUGCGCGGCACCGUUGUGCCGAGCGACAAGGUAUUGGUGGACGUCGGCACCGGCUACUUCCUGGAGCAGUCGAUGGAACACGCGAAGAAGUAUUUCCUAUCUCGCGCGGCGCAAAUCAAGGAGAGCAUGGACCAGGUAGAGAAGACGAUCGUGUUGAAGCAGCGGCAGCAAAAUCAGGUCAUCGACGCACUCCAGCAGAAGACAAUGGCGAUGCAGCGUUACCAUGAGGAGCACGGGAAGGAGUAGGGAGGAGAAGACGGGCUCUCGGCCAAGAAAGUAGUAUCGAUUUUAGAGGCUCACAUGUUUGGCACUUUCUCUGAAAAUUUCUUUAGCGCCGUCUUGCUGUGGUAACUUGCCCUCCGUCUUCGUCUCUUCCAUUCGACGAGGUCGUCUGCCGCUUCCCCUUGACUCGUCGUUUUUGUUGGGUUGAUGAGCUUCUUGCGUGCCGGUGUGCUUGCCGCACUUUUCGUUUGUUUGCUUGCUGAUGUUCCGAUGUUCUUCUGAUAACUAAAACGACAUCGUUUGUGGUGGUUGUGAUGAUGGCUGUGGCUGUUUUUGUGUGUGCUUCGUUUUACUUUCCCGUCUGUUGAGCGGCGGCGAAGUGAUGCUCUUGUGUUGUGCGGUGGCCCCCACCGCAUGUGCUCCAGCCUGCCCGCCCGUCUCUCUCGCUCGGUUCCUCUCUCGCAUUGCCGUCUCUCCGUGUGUGUGUGUGUGUGCACGUGUCGCAUCGUGCAGCGCAAGUGCCGUGAGAGCUGCAACGCUGGGCGGAAGUCGAAGAGGGGGCAGGAGGCGGGGAGAGGAAUCUUUCGAGCAGGAAGCAGGAUGUUGCCUGCGUACCGCAGACAAACACACCAAGAGGACCCCCAAUAAACAAAGACGAGCACAGAAAGCGAGACGAGGCACGCACGUGCUCUCACUCACACACACACACACACACACACGCAUCCGCACACACAGCCUGCACUCGCCUCACCACAACGGAGGGAGUGAGGAGGUGAUGUUUGAGGAUGGGAACGCACUUCCGCUUUGCCCCCCCCCCCCCCCCCCCCCCCCCCCCCCCCCCCCCCCCCCCCCCCCCCCCCCCCCGCGACGAUUUCAGCCCGUGGCAGCCGCAGCAGCAGCGGCGACCAAGUACACGGGCAACGGACGCUUUGCUUUUUCUUUGCCGCGGCGAAGGCUAACGGUGCUGCCGUUGCCGUAUCCUCCACCCGUUACCCUCUUGUCGCUCUCCUCCUUGCGGCAGGGCUCCUGGGUUCCAUCGUUGGCUGCAUUGCACUCUGGUAUGUGAGGGGCAAGGCGGGGGAUCACGAGGAUGCAGUCAAUGGGUUUGACGUCGGUGCUGCUGGAUGGCGCGCAUGCUCUCUCUUGUGCCUUCUUUUUCGUGCACAAAGGGCUUUAUGCGGCUGUAUCUACGCGUGUCCCAUCUCCGCUUUCUCGGUCCGCUUCACUGGCUUCGCUGCCAUCAUUUGCAUUCCUUCGCCGCCCCCCUCUCCUCCUCGCCCUUUCUUCCUCUGCUCUGCUGAGGACUGCCGUCUACACUCAUUUUGGUGAUACGCCAAG